CACGCUGAUAAGACCAUACUCUAAUCACACGUCGCCCCGGUAGUGUCUAAACACGGACGAUUGAUAAUAAUGUGCGUGCUAGCUCGCUAAGCCUCGUGGCAUGAUUACUUUUUUUUCUCUCUCUCUCUCUCUUUCUCUCCCUCUCUCAUUCUCUCUCAUUCUCUCUCUCUCUCUCUCUCUCUCUCUCUCUCACGCACACUCUCUUUCUCUUUUUAUCUUUAUCAUUUUAUAUUUCACUCUCUCUCUCUCUUUUUUUUUCUUUUUUCUCUCUCUCAUUAUGAGAGAAGAUCCAAAGCCUAGUUAGCCUUUAACCGAGGCUAAUCGUUCCCCUAUUCGAUUCGCGUUUAAUACUCGUGUGGAACCGCGAUCGAAACGCGCCGAGGAGGAGUCUUUCGAAUGAAUCAACAUGUACUGAUUGGACAUCGGCCGAUGAGAAUCUUCUUCCUCGAUAUCAGCUAACCGUAACAACGAAUCACCAAUCGACCAAUGAACAAACCGAUCUGACGUAUCGACGUAUAUAUCAAACGACGACCUACCUACCAGGCCAACCGAAUGAAAGAUUUAUCACACAUUUUCUGCGUACUCGCAGACGUAGAAAGAGAGAAAGAGAAAGAAAGAAAGGAAGAGAGAGAGAGAG
Vespa velutina is the source of this 637-nucleotide long non-coding RNA. RefSeq lists it as uncharacterized. The transcript is spliced from 3 exons. The record is from RefSeq and is a predicted model, not a curated record. NCBI's taxonomy places the organism in Eukaryota, Metazoa, Arthropoda, Insecta, Hymenoptera, Vespidae.